AAGGAAUAUUGGACAAUGCCCGCAAGGGUGAUCCAGCCAUCCCGCGUGCAGGAAGACUGCCCUAUGGGUUGUAAACUGCUUUUAUCAGGGAAGAAACCCCUUGACUUGUUAAGGGUUGACGGUACCUGAUGAAUAAGCACCGGCUAACUCCGUGCCAGCAGCCGCGGUAAUACGGAGGGUGCAAGCGUUAUCCGGAAUCACUGGGUUUAAAGGGUGCGUAGGCGGCUUAAUAAGUCAGAGGUGAAAGACUACAGCUUAACUGUGGCACUGCCUUUGAUACUGUUGAGCUGGAAUCAGGUUGAAGUUAGUGGAAUGCGGCAUGUAGCGGUGAAAUGCAUAGAUAUGUCGUAGAACACCGAUUGCGAAGGCAGCUAACUGGGCUUGAAUUGACGCUGAGGCACGAAAGCGUGGGGAUCGAAC
This 420-nucleotide ribosomal RNA is filed under the name uncultured bacterium. Its description in RNAcentral is "bacterial SSU rRNA". It matches the Rfam family "Bacterial small subunit ribosomal RNA", at positions 356 to 773 of the family's 1533-position model. The record is from RNAcentral.